This is an unclassified non-coding RNA of Chelonoidis abingdonii (Abingdon island giant tortoise), 173 nucleotides long. Lineage: Eukaryota; Metazoa; Chordata; Testudines; Testudinidae. The record is from Ensembl.
UUGCUCUAGAGACUGAAGUCUCCUACCUACCCACAGAAUAGGUCCAGCGCAGACAGCAGCAGUACAAGUUUUCUCUUCUCUGCCACCUGAGCAAUGUGUCUCGAUCCUGCCUAGGACCACCUCUCUGGCUGACAGGGGAGUUCCAUUUCCAUGUCUGCUCUGCUGAAGCUGCC